This 406-nucleotide ribosomal RNA is filed under the name uncultured bacterium. RNAcentral describes it as "partial 16S ribosomal RNA". It matches the Rfam family "Bacterial small subunit ribosomal RNA", at positions 30 to 526 of the family's 1533-position model. The record is from RNAcentral.
AUUGAACGCUGGCGGCAGGCCUAACACAUGCAAGUCGAACGAGUGGCGGACGGGUGAGUAAUGUCUGGGAAACUGCCUGAUGGAGGGGGAUAACUACUGGAAACGGUAGCUAAUACCGCAUACCAUCGGAUGUGCCCAGAUGGGAUUAGCUAGUAGGUGGGGUAAAGGCUCACCUAGGCGACGAUCCCUAGCUGGUCUGAGAGGAUGACCAGCCACACUGGAACGGAGACACGGUCCAGACUCCGACGGGGGGAAGAAGUGGGGAAUAUUGAACAAGGGGCGCAAGCCUGAGAAAGCAAUGCCGCAUGUAGGAAGAAGGCUUUCGGUUUGUAAAGUACUUUCAGCGGGGAGGCGUUACCCGCAGAAGAAGCACCGGCUAACUCCGUGCCAGCAGCCGCGUUAAUAC